CUUAAAUUGAAGAGUUUGAUCAUGGCUCAGAUUGAACGCUGGCGGCAGGCCUAACACAUGCAAGUCGAGCAGAAACGAGUUAUCUGAA
This 88-nucleotide ribosomal RNA is filed under the name Vibrio parahaemolyticus. Its description in RNAcentral is "partial 16S ribosomal RNA". It matches the Rfam family "Bacterial small subunit ribosomal RNA", at positions 1 to 84 of the family's 1533-position model. Lineage: Bacteria; Pseudomonadati; Pseudomonadota; Gammaproteobacteria; Vibrionales; Vibrionaceae. The record is from RNAcentral.